CCGGGCGCUGCCCGCUCUUAGCGCCCCCCUGUGCGCGGCCCAGGGCGGCGGCGGUGUAUUGUAUGAACGAGGCGGAGCUGGUGGAGGUGGCCUUGGCGGUCCUGGCAGAGAAUCUACAUUGCGAGGAAAGUGAAGAGAAGGCCCAGUCUGGGAGCAGAGAGGAACAAGAGCUCCAGCCAACACUAAACGAGGCUUCUGGGAGCAAGGCCAACACGGGGGAAGGCAGCGACCACAGUCCGGUGCUGCCAUCCCCUCCUGGUGCUGGUGCUGUUGCCGACACAGGGAGCACAGGCGGGGAGAACUCUGAAGACGACGUUCUGAAAUAUGUCAGGGAGAUCUUUUUCAGCUAACAUCUCCUCUGGGACUCCCCAGGAGUAGAGGGGACAGUGGGGCGAGUGUCCCUUCCCAUGGUGCUGAGGACAGUGGGAGGAGGGCCUGGAGCGGACUGUGUGUCUGCUGUGCUGGUGGCCUAUGGAGCUGGUAGGAUACCUACAAAGACCAGGGAGGGGAAAGGAAUGAGGCACUCACUUCUUCCAGUCUGUGCUGGGUUCAGUGGGAUUUGGCUCCAGAUUAGAAUGCGUUCAUUUGUGUGGCAUUUCAGAGCAUUGACAGAUUAAAGAAGACAUUCUGGUUUC
Long non-coding RNA from Empidonax traillii (willow flycatcher), 635 nucleotides. RefSeq lists it as uncharacterized. The record is from RefSeq and is a predicted model, not a curated record. The transcript is spliced from 2 exons. NCBI's taxonomy places the organism in Eukaryota, Metazoa, Chordata, Aves, Passeriformes, Tyrannidae.